AAAGGCUCCUCAGAAGCAUAGCAAUAUUCAUACAGGGCCACCUCCUGGUGCUGGAACCAGGCCACAAUCUGCGACAUUGCACCAAAGGGAUAAAGGAAGCAUGGGGCAAAAGGACAUCUUGUCACCUUCCUAGUGUCUCCAUAAUCUGCUGCCUAAGGUGAAUACCUCACCUCACUUCAUGGAAGAGCUGCCCUAAAGACCCAUGAGCAUUGGAGUCUUCCUGGGGUCUCUAAAUUUACUUCAAGGAGGACCCACACUUGGAAAAGAAGGCCUUUGGGGCUGACUGCAGCAGAUUCAGGUCAAAGGAUGGCCUGUACUUAACAGGCAUGAAGUCAAAAUGUCUCUUCCCUCGUGGUACCCAGCCUGCCAUUCUAACAGACCUAACUGAAAGUGAUCUCAUGUCAGAUGCCUGAGUGUUUGUUGUCAGCAAAACAAAUAAUACACUACACCAUGGGGAACAACAUGAGUCUGGAGGUAAAGGUGAAAGCGUUUCUUUCGACAGUUGUCAGCUGAUGUUGGGAAUAAAAUAUUUAUUGUCACCUGC
Molecule: long non-coding RNA, 544 nt
Organism: Hemicordylus capensis (graceful crag lizard)
Lineage: Eukaryota; Metazoa; Chordata; Lepidosauria; Squamata; Cordylidae
Exons: 2
Source: RefSeq, a predicted model, not a curated record